GCGUCUCCAUUGAUCGACCCGAUGGCAAC
This 29-nucleotide small RNA is filed under the name Bombyx mori (domestic silkworm). Its description in RNAcentral is "ovarian small RNA-1788". The record is from RNAcentral. Lineage: Eukaryota; Metazoa; Arthropoda; Insecta; Lepidoptera; Bombycidae.